This 318-nucleotide ribosomal RNA is filed under the name Triticum aestivum (bread wheat). RNAcentral's name for it is "partial small subunit ribosomal RNA". The record is from RNAcentral. Lineage: Eukaryota; Viridiplantae; Streptophyta; Magnoliopsida; Poales; Poaceae.
AUGCGUGUAUUUGCUCCCUUCUUCGCUAUUAUUUCUUUCUUUCUUUGUGCCUUUGUGGUGUUGUUUCCUUGCCGGUGCCGAUUGAUAUUUGACAGGCUUGUUUCGGCUGCGGUGGGUGUCCUCCCCGUUUUUUUCUUUCUCCCCAUGGAUUACAUGGUAGGGGCCGUAGUGGUGGAUGCUUCCUGUGUAUCAUCACGUGUUGCUGUUGGUGCGGUCCAUUGGGGGUUUGGAUUAAGUGCUUUGUGGCUGCCGGGAUGUGGUGCUGUCGAUGGGUUUGUUUUUUUAGAAGAAAAGGGCUCCCGCCCCGGCUCCAUUUGA